AGGAUCAUUAUUGAAUUUAAUGAGGGGAUAUUUGGUUGUAGCUGGCUCAUGAAUUUGGGCAUGUGCACACCUAUCUCUUUCAUCCACACACACCUGUGCACUUGUGAGGCAGAUGGGGAAUUUAUUGAUUGUUUUUUAAGAACAAUUGGUGCUGGACCCUCUGUCUACUCAAUACAUAAACUCAAUUUAUUUAGAAAUGAAUGUAAUGGAUGUAACGCAUCUAAUACUAAGUUUCAACAACGGAUCUCUUGGCUCUCGCAUCGAUGAAGAACGCAGCGAAAUGCGAUAAGUAAUGUGAAUUGCAGAAUUCAGUGAAUCAUCGAAUCUUUGAACGCACCUUGCGCUCCUUGGUAUUCCUUGGAGCAUGCCUGUUUGAGUAUCAUGAAAUCUUCAAAGUAAAUCUUUUGUUAACUCAAUUGGUUCUACUUUGGUAUUGGAGGUCUUUGCAGCUUCACACCUGCUCCUCUUUGUUCAUUAGCUGGAUCUCAGUGUUAUGCUUGGUUCCACUCAGCGUGAUAAGUUAUCUAUCGCUGAGGACACUGUAACAGGUGGCCAAGGGAAAUGCAGAUGAACCGCUUCUAGUAGUCCAU
Molecule: small RNA, 590 nt
Filed under: Rhizoctonia solani
Lineage: Eukaryota; Fungi; Basidiomycota; Agaricomycetes; Cantharellales; Ceratobasidiaceae
Description: eukaryotic LSU rRNA
Rfam family: 5.8S ribosomal RNA (bases 229-382)
Source: RNAcentral